GCCGACGUAGCUCAGCAGGUAGAGCAGCUCAUUCGUAAUGAGCAGGUCAGCGGUUCGAGUCCGCUCGUCGGCU
This 73-nucleotide transfer RNA is filed under the name Rubrobacter sp. Its description in RNAcentral is "tRNA-Thr". It matches the Rfam family "tRNA". Rfam says of the family: Transfer RNA (tRNA) molecules are approximately 80 nucleotides in length. Their secondary structure includes four short double-helical elements and three loops (D, anti-codon, and T loops). Further hydrogen bonds mediate the characteristic L-shaped molecular structure. tRNAs have two regions of fundamental functional importance: the anti-codon, which is responsible for specific mRNA codon recognition, and the 3' end, to which the tRNAs corresponding amino acid is attached (by aminoacyl-tRNA synthetases). tRNAs cope with the degeneracy of the genetic code in two manners: having more than one tRNA (with a specific anti-codon) for a particular amino acid; and 'wobble' base-pairing, i.e. permitting non-standard base-pairing at the 3rd anti-codon position. RNAcentral also lists the same sequence under 1 other name. The record is from RNAcentral. Lineage: Bacteria; Bacillati; Actinomycetota; Rubrobacteria; Rubrobacterales; Rubrobacteraceae.